This is a non-coding RNA of Phrynosoma platyrhinos (Desert horned lizard), 71 nucleotides long. The record is from the annotation of a GenBank genome assembly. Lineage: Eukaryota; Metazoa; Chordata; Lepidosauria; Squamata; Phrynosomatidae.
GCCAGUGUGGCGUAGUGUUCAAGCGUUGGACUACAAUGCUGAAGACCAGGGUUUGAAUCCCUGCUCAACCA